This 520-nucleotide ribosomal RNA is filed under the name uncultured Ktedonobacteria bacterium. Its description in RNAcentral is "bacterial SSU rRNA". It matches the Rfam family "Bacterial small subunit ribosomal RNA", at positions 42 to 568 of the family's 1533-position model. Lineage: Bacteria; Bacillati; Chloroflexota; Ktedonobacteria. The record is from RNAcentral.
GCGUGCCUAACACAUGCAAGUCGCACGCGCGGUCUCCCUCGGGAGGCAGCGAGUGGCGCACGGGUGAGUAACACAUGGGUACCUGCCUUUCAGUGAGGAAUACCGGCGAGAAAUCGCCGACAAUGCUGCAUAGGCUCUAGGAACUAAGCAGCCUGGAGCAAAGCUGCCUCUCGUGAGGGAGGCAGCGCUGGAAGAGGGGCCUGUGGCCGAUUAGCUGGUUGGUGGGGUAAGAGCCUACCAAGGCCACGAUCGGUAGCUGGUCUGAGAGGACGAGCAGCCACACUGGGAUUGAGAACGGCCCAGACUCCUACGGGGGGCAGCAGUGAGGAAUUUUCGGCAAUGGGGGCAACCCUGACCGAGCAACGCCGCGUGCAGGAAGACGGCCUUCGGGUUGUAAACUGCUUUACUGUGGGACGAGCAAGGACGGUACCACAGCAAUCAGCCCCGGCUAACUACGUGCCAGCAGCCGCGGUAAUACGUAGGGGGCAAGCGUUGUCCGGAGUUACUGGGCGUAAAGGGC